Molecule: non-coding RNA, 581 nt
Organism: Schizosaccharomyces pombe (fission yeast)
Lineage: Eukaryota; Fungi; Ascomycota; Schizosaccharomycetes; Schizosaccharomycetales; Schizosaccharomycetaceae
Source: the annotation of a GenBank genome assembly
AAACACAAAAGAGACAAGCAUGCAAUGGAUGUUAUGAAAUUGAAUUGAUCGCGCAAGAAGCCUGCAACAAGGGGACCAAUAAUCAUACCUAAAGAAUAGACAAUAUUAUAGGCACUAAAGAGCUGAGUAUAGGGUCCGUUAUGCCCAAAAAAAGUGGGAUGUUCGAGCUCAUAUUCAGCAACGUAAUGAGAAGAUUGAACAAAACCGGGGGAUGAUGUGAAUGCCAAAACCACUCCAUUAAUAGCCAGGAAAGCAGAGAACAAAUAAAUGUUAAGACUAGUAUUUGUUCGAGGAAUACACAAGAGGAACAACGUACAUCCCAAAAUAGCAUACGCACGCUUACCUAUAGUACGAGAACCACGGCGAUCAACCAUUGCACCAGCCCAAGCACCACAAAAAAAAUAUGGUGUACUCAACACUCCAAACAUAAGACCACAUUGGAGCGAAUUAAAGUCAAAAAGCGUUUUCAGCUCUAAAGGAAUAGUAGCAUCAAAGGCAGAGAAAAGGCACGAAUUGACGAAACUAGUCCAGAAUGGACCAAAGAUUUGUUUAUGAUGUAACAAGGAGUAGAUAGGUAGGCA